Molecule: small RNA, 2100 nt
Filed under: Pongo abelii (Sumatran orangutan)
Lineage: Eukaryota; Metazoa; Chordata; Mammalia; Primates; Hominidae
Description: processed transcript
Source: RNAcentral
GUGCAUACGGCAGCCGGCAUGGCGCAUUACAACUUCAAGAAAAUUACGGUGGUGCCGUCCGCCAAGGACUUUAUAGACCUCACGUUGUCGAAGACUCAACGAAAGACUCCAACCGUUAUUCAUAAACAUUACCAAAUACAUCGCAUUAGACAUUUUUACAUGAGAAAAGUCAAAUUUACUCAACAGAAUUACCAUGAUAGACUUUCACAAAUUCUAACAGAUUUCCCUAAAUUGGAUUGUUGCUAAAGAUUAUGUGCGACUGAUGAAGUACGGCGACUCUCUCUACCGCUGCAAACAGCUGAAGCGUGCGGCCCUGGGACGGAUGUGCACGGUGAUCAAGAGGCAGAAGCAGAGUUUGGAGUAUUUGGAGCAAGGUGCUUGUCAUGCGUCUGCAGGAACCGUGUUAGCAUCCUACUGAGAGGAUGCGUCCUUGUUGAGGGCUUGAGAUGUCUGUUUUUGUUGUAUUUUAGAGAUGACAGGGUCAGUUAUUUUUCCUAGCUUUACCUGUGAGAAACAGUAAUAGGCUGGUUUUUAUUGAAAAAGUGCUAGCACUUAAAAUACUUACAAAUCAAUAGCACUGAUAAGAAAAUUUAUAUAUUUCAUAUUUAAUAGGUAAGGCACAGACAAAAAAGUCAUGAGAAAAUACUGAAAAGUAUAAAAACUAAGGUGGCUCAAAGUUUAUUAUUGACUUUUUAAUUUUUAAAAAUACUUUUAUUUAAUAGGACUUUCUGAAUUAAUGUAGUAGGAUUCUAUUGAAACAAUUACUUGCUUAUUUAUUUGUGUGUAUUCUUACAUGACAAAUUAUUUUGACUCAUUUGGUUUUGUUUUCCCUCCUGCAUCUUAGAAAUAAUUUUUAACAAAAUUUAUGGUACUUGGAUGCUUUGCAGGUGCUUUCCUACACAUCUGUGUGGUCGUCAGGAUGGCCCGGGGGUGCCACCCUGGAGCCGUGUUUGUUACAGAUGAGGUGGCAGAAUGGCAGUAACCCAUGUUGUAGCCAGAGCGGCAUGGCGUGCAGGCUUCAAAGUACACUGUUUCCCUAAUAUAUCACCACAGGCCUGGACUAUAACUAAGUUGAAAAGAAAAUUUAAAGCAAAUCUUAAACUUCGAGUUUCUUAAUUUUUCAAUUUGAACUUUUCCUAGUGCGUCAGCAUUUAUCCCGUUUGCCAACCAUUGAUCCGAAUACCAGGACCCUGCUUUUGUGUGGGUACCCAAAUGUUGGGAAGUCCAGCUUCAUCAACAAGGUGACGAGAGCAGACGUGGAUGUCCAGCCCUAUGCGUUCACAACCAAGUCUCUGUUUGUUGGGCACAUGGAUUAUAAGUAUCUACGUUGGCAGGUUGUAGACACUCCUGGGAUCCUGGACCACCCUCUGGAGGAUAGGAACACCAUCGAGAUGCAGGCCAUCACUGCCCUGGCCCACCUCCGUGCUGCAGUCCUGUAUGUGAUGGAUUUGUCUGAGCAGUGUGGGCAUGGGCUGAGGGAGCAGCUAGAACUCUUCCAGAACAUCAGACCUCUCUUCAUCAACAAGGUAUAUGUGGUCACUCGUGUUUUGCUUCGUAUCCUGCAGUAUGAGAAUAAUGAUUUCAUUACUUUUCUUCCUUGCCUAGCCUCUCAUAGUUGUAGCCAACAAAUGUGAUGUGAAGAGAAUAGCUGAACUUUCUGAAGAUGAUCAGAAAAUAUUUACAGAUUUGCAGUCUGAAGGAUUCCCUGUAAUAGAGACCAGCACCCUGACUGAGGAAGGUGUUAUUAAAGUUAAAACAGAGGCUUGCGAUAGGCUUUUGGCUCAUCGAGUGGAAACCAAAAUGAAGGGAAAUAAAGUGAACGAGGUGCUGAAUAGACUGCACCUGGCUGUCCCAACCAGGAGGGACGAUAAGGAGAGGCCCCCUUUCAUCCCUGAAGGAGUGGUGGCUCGCAGGAAGAGGAUGGAAACGGAGGAGCCCAAGAAGAAGAGGGAACGAGAUCUUGAGCUGGAAAUGGGAGAUGAUUAUAUUUUGGAUCUUCAGAAGUACUGGGAUUUAAUGAAUUCGUCUGAAAAACAUGAUAAGAUACCAGAAAUCUGGGAAGGCCAUAAUAUAGCUGAUUAUAUUGAUCCAGCCAUCAUG